This 274-nucleotide ribosomal RNA is filed under the name uncultured bacterium. RNAcentral describes it as "partial 16S ribosomal RNA". It matches the Rfam family "Bacterial small subunit ribosomal RNA", at positions 523 to 796 of the family's 1533-position model. The record is from RNAcentral.
AUACGGAGGGUGCAAGCGUUACUCGGAAUCACUGGGCGUAAAGCGCGCGCAGGCGGGCUGAUAAGUUGGAUGUGAAAGCCUACGGCUCAACCGUAGAACUGCAUCCAAAACUGUCAGUCUAGAGUGUGGGAGAGGAAGAUGGAAUUAGUUGUGUAGGGGUAAAAUCCGUAGAGAUAACUAGGAAUACCAAAAGCGAAGGCAAUCUUCUGGAACACUACUGACGCUGAGGCGCGAAGGCGUGGGGAGCAAACAGGAUUAGAUACCCGGGUAGUCC